Molecule: long non-coding RNA, 4413 nt
Organism: Anopheles funestus (African malaria mosquito)
Lineage: Eukaryota; Metazoa; Arthropoda; Insecta; Diptera; Culicidae
Exons: 3
Source: RefSeq, a predicted model, not a curated record
UACCGACCGAGUUAUAGGCAAAUUUUGGUGCAAAAAUGAGUCUUAUGAAAUUUUCAAAUUUUUAUAUUUUUUUCAAUUUUUUCAGAUUUUUUACUCUUUUUUUUAUUUAAAGCAUUGUUUGAGUGAAAAGAAACUCAUUGCAACCAAUUGGCAUUAAAAUAAAUCAAUUUAAAUUUUUUUGCAAAAUUUCUCAAAAAAAUGGCAAGGGGUACCCCUUAUGAAAUUUUCGAGUUGAAAAUUUUUUAAAAAUUUUUUUCUGAUUUUUUAUUUUUUUUUAAAUUUAAAGCACUAUUUAAGUGAAAAGAAACUUAUUGCAACAAAAUUCGCAUUAAAAUAUACCACAUUUUUCAAUUUUGCUAAAUUACUCAAAAAAUGAGAAAAUUUUUACAUUUUCUCAAACAGGGUAAGGAACUUGGUUCCUCGAAUAACUUCUGGCACAGACAUCUGAGGGCAUGGCCGUCCAAGAAGAAAAUGUAGCCAUUAUUGCCAUCUAUCGACCACAGGUUAAAGAUUGGCGAUCCGUUGGAUACCGACCGAGUUAUAGGCAAAAUUUGGUGCAAAAAUGAGUCUUAUGAAAUUUUAAAAUUUUUAUAUUUUUUUCAAUUUUUUCAGAUUUUUUACUCUUUUUUUUAUUUAAAGCAUUGUUUGAGUGAAAAGAAACUCAUUGCAACCAAUUGGCAUUAAAAUAAAUCAAUUUAAAUUUUUUUGCAAAAUUUCUCAAAAAAAUGGCAAGGGGUACCCCUUAUGAAAUUUUCGAGUUGAAAAUUUUUUAAAAAUUUUUUUCUGAUUUUUUAUUUUUUUUUAAAUUUAAAGCACUAUUUAAGUGAAAAGAAACUUAUUGCAACAAAAUUCGCAUUAAAAUAUACCACAUUUUUCAAUUUUGCUAAAUUACUCAAAAAUGAGAAAAUUUUUACAUUUUCUCAAACAGGGUAAGGAACUUGGUUCCUCGAAUAACUUCUGGCACAGACAUCUGAGGGCAUGGCCGUCCAAGAAGAAAAUGUAGCCAUUAUUGCCAUCUAUCGACCACAGGUUAAAGAUUGGAGAUCCGUUGGAUACCGACCGAGUUAUAGCCAAAACUUGGUGCAAAAAUGAGGAAAAUUUUACAUUUUCUCAAACAGGGUAAGGAAUUUGGUUCCUCGAAUAACUUCUGGCACAGACAUCUGAGGGCAAGGCCGUCCAAGAAGAAAAUGUAGCCAUUAUUGCCAUCUAUCGACCACAGGUUAAAGAUUGGCGAUCCGUUGGAUACCGACCGAGUUAUAGCCAAAACUUGGUGCAAAAAUGAGGAAAAUUUUACAUUUUCUCAAACAGGGUAAGGAACUUGGUUCCUCGAAUAACUUCUGGCACAGACAUCUGAGGGCAUGGCCGUCCAAGAAGAAAAUGUAGCCAUUAUUGCCAUCUAUCGACCACAGGUUAAAGAUUGGCGAUCCGUUGGAUACCGACCGAGUUAUAGCAAAAACUUGGUGCAAAAAUGAGGAAAAUUUUACAUUUUCUCAAACAGGGUAAGGAACUUGGUUCCUCGAAUAACUUCUGGCACAGACAUCUGAGGGCAAGGCCGUCCAAGAAGAAAAUGUAGCCAUUAUUGCCAUCUAUCGACCACAGGUUAAAGAUUGGCGAUCCGUUGGAUACCGACCGAGUUAUAGGCAAAAUUUGGCGCAAAAAUGAGGAAAAUUUUACAUUUUCUCAAACAGGGUAAGGAACUUGGUUCCUCGAAUAACUUCUGGCACAGACAUCUGAGGGCAUGGCCGUCCAAGAAGAAAAUGUAGCCAUUAUUGUCAUCUAUCGACCACAGGUUAAAGAUUGGAGAUCCGUUGGAUACCGACCGAGUUAUAGGCAAAAUUUGGCGCAAAAAUGAGGAAAAUUUUACAUUUUCUCAAACAGGGUAAGGAACUUGGUUCCUCGAAUAACUUCUGGCACAGACAUCUGAGGGCAUGGCCGUCCAAGAAUAAAAUGUAGCCAUUAGUGCCAUCUAUCGACCACAGGUUGAAGAUUGGCGAUCUGUUGGAUACCGACCGAGUUAUAGGCAAAAUUUGGUGCAAAAAUGAGUCUUAUGAAAUUUUCAAAUUUUUAUAUUUUUUUCAAUUUUUUCAGAUUUUUUACUCUUUUUUUUAUUUAAAGCAUUGUUUGAGUGAAAAGAAACUCAUUGCAACCAAUUGGCAUUAAAAUAAAUCAAUUUAAUUUUUUUUGCAAAAUUUCUCAAAAAAAUGGCAAGGGGUACCCCUUAUGAAAUUUUCGAGUUGAAAAUUUUUUAAAAUUUUUUUUCUGAUUUUUUAUUCUUUUUUAAAUUUAAAGCACUAUUUAAGUGAAAAGAAACUUAUUGCAACAAAAUUCGCAUUAAAAUAUACCACAUUUUUCAAUUUUGCUAAAUUACUCAAAAAUGAGGAAAAUUUUACAUUUUCUCAAACAGGGUAAGGAACUUGGUUCCUCGAAUAACUUCUGGCACAGACAUCUGAGGGCAUGGCCGUAAAAGAAAAAUUUUACGUUUUCUCAAACAGGGUAAGGAACUUGGUUCCUCGAAUAACUUCUGGCACAGACAUCUGAGGGCAUGGCCGUCCAAGAAGAAAAUGUAGCCAUUAGUGCCAUCUAUCGACCACAGGUUAAAGAUUGGCGAUCCGUUGGAUACCGACCGAGUUAUAGCCAAAACUUGGUGCAAAAAUGAGGAAAAUUUUACAUUUUCUCAAACAGGGUAAGGAACUUGGUUCCUCGAAUAACUUCUGGCACAGACAUCUGAGGGCAUGGCCGUCCAAGAAGAAAAUGUAGCCAUUAUUGCCAUCUAUCGACCACAGGUUAAAGAUUGGCGAUCCGUUGGAUAUGGACCGAGUUAUAGGCAAAAUUUGGUGCAAAAAUGAGAAAAAUUUUACGUUUUCUCAAACAGGGUAAGGAACUUGGUUCCUCGAAUAACUUCUGGCACAGACAUCUGAGGGCAAGGCCGUCCAAGAAGAAAAUGUAGCCAUUAUUGCCAUCUAUCGACCACAGGUUAAAGAUUGGCGUUCCGUUGGAUACCGACCGAGUUAUAGCCAAAACUUGGUGCAAAAAUGAGGAAAAUUUUACAUUUUCUCAAACAGGGUAAGGAACUUGGUUCCUCGAAUAACUUCUGGUACAGACAUCUGAGGGCAAGGCCGUCCAAGAAGAAAAUGUAGCCAUUAUUGCCAUCUAUCGACCACAGGUUAAAGAUUGGCGAUCCGUUGGAUAUGGACCGAGUUAUAGGCAAAAUUUGGUGCAAAAAUGAGAAAAAUUUUACGUUUUCUCAAACAGGGUAAGGAACUUGGUUCCUCGAAUAACUUCUGGCACAGACAUCUGAGGGCAAGGCCGUCCAAGAAGAAAAUGUAGCCAUUAUUGCCAUCUAUCGACCACAGGUUAAAGAUUGGCGAUCCGUUGGAUACCGACCGAGUUAUAGGCAAAACUUGGUGCAAAAAUGAGGAAAAUUUUACAUUUUCUCAAACAGGGUAAGGAACUUGGUUCCUCGAAUAACUUCUGGUACAGACAUCUGAGGGCAAGGCCGUCCAAGAAGAAAAUGUAGCCAUUAUUGCCAUCUAUCGACCACAGGUUAAAGAUUGGCGAUCCGUUGGAUACCGACCGAGUUAUAGCCAAAACUUGGUGCAAAAAUGAGGAAAAUUUUACAUUUUCUCAAACAGGGUAAGGAACUUGGUUCCUCGAAUAACUUCUGGCACAGACAUCUGAGGGCAUGGCCGUCUAAGAAGAAAAUAUAGCCAUUAUUGCCAUCUAUCGAGCACAGGUUAAAGAUUGGCGAUCCGUUGGAUACCAACCGAGUUAUAGUCAAAACUUGGUGCAAAAAUGAGGAAAAUUUUACAUUUUCUCAAACAGGGUAAGGAACUUGGUUCCUCGAAUAACUUCUGGUACAGACAUCUGAGGGCAAGGCCGUCCAAGAAGAAAAUGUAGCCAUUAUUGCCAUCUAUCGACCACAGGUUAAAGAUUGGCGAUCCGUUGGAUACCGACCGAGUUAUAGCCAAAACUUGUUGCAAAAAUGAGGAAAAUUUUACAUUUUCUCAAACAGGGUAAGGAACUUGGUUCCUCGAAUAACUUCUGGCACAGACAUCUGAGGGCAUGGCCGUCUAAGAAGAAAAUAUAGCCAUUAUUGCCAUCUAUCGACCACAGGUUAAAGAUUGGCGAUCCGUUGGAUACCAACCGAGAUAUAGUCAAAACUUGGUGCAAAAAUGAGGAAAAUUUUACAUUUUCUCAAACAGGGUAUGGAACUUGGUUCGUCGAAUAACUUCUGGGACAGACAUCGGAAUUUGAAACUUUUUGAGAAACAGUACAUCAGAAUAGUAGGUGGUAUGUUUUGAUUCAAAAAUCUAUUAUAUUGCAAGCAACAUUAAAUCCGUUGUAUUGAGUAAACCAAUUGAGCGAUUUUAAUAACGUUGACUGUUUUGAAUUUGUUUUUUAAUAUACUUUUCA